RNAcentral lists this ribosomal RNA (500 nucleotides) under uncultured bacterium. RNAcentral describes it as "partial 16S ribosomal RNA". It matches the Rfam family "Bacterial small subunit ribosomal RNA", at positions 30 to 523 of the family's 1533-position model. The record is from RNAcentral.
AUUGAACGCUGGCGGCAUGCUUUACACAUGCAAGUCGAACGGUAACAGGGUGCUUGCACCGCUGACGAGUGGCGAACGGGUGAGUAAUGCGUCGGAACGUGCCGAGUAGUGGGGGAUAACGCAGCGAAAGUUGUGCUAAUACCGCAUACGUACUGAGGUAGAAAGUGGGGGACCUUCGGGCCUCACGCUAUUCGAGCGGCCGGCGUCUGAUUAGCUAGUAGGUGAGGUAAAGGCUCACCUAGGCGACCAUCAGUAGCGGGUCUGAGAGGAUGAUCCGCCACACUGGGACUGAGACACGGCCCAGACUCCUACGGGAGGCAGCAGUGGGGAAUUUUGGACAAUGGGCGAAAGCCUGAUCCAGCCAUGCCGCGUGUCUGAAGAAGGCCUUCGGGUUGUAAAGGACUUUUGUCAGGGAGGAAAUCCCUAGUGCUAAUAACACUGGGGGAUGACAGUACCUGAAGAAUAAGCACCGGCUAACUACGUGCCAGCAGCCGCCGCCG